This 262-nucleotide unclassified non-coding RNA is filed under the name plant metagenome. Its description in RNAcentral is "partial contains small subunit ribosomal RNA, internal transcribed spacer 1, and 5.8S ribosomal RNA". The record is from RNAcentral.
UCUCCGUUGGUGAACCAGCGGAGGGAUCAUUACCGAGUUUACAACUCCCAAACCCCUAUGUGAACGUUACCAAACUGUUGCCUCGGCGGGAAAUUCAUGCCCCGGGCGCGUCGCAGCCCCGGACCAAGGCGCCCGCCGGAGGACCAACCAAAACUCUUUUGUAUGUCCCUCGCGGACUUUUAUAAUUCUGAACCAUCUCGGCGCCCCUAGCGGGCGUUUCGAAAAUGAAUCAAAACUUUCAACAACGGAUCCCUUGGUUCUG